Non-coding RNA from Cordylochernes scorpioides, 73 nucleotides. Lineage: Eukaryota; Metazoa; Arthropoda; Arachnida; Pseudoscorpiones; Chernetidae. The record is from the annotation of a GenBank genome assembly.
UCCAGGGUAGCCUAGUAGACAUGGCAUCUGUCCGGUAAGCGGAACACCGUGGGCUCGAUUCCUAUUCCUGGAC